Molecule: ribosomal RNA, 253 nt
Filed under: uncultured bacterium
Lineage: Bacteria
Description: partial 16S ribosomal RNA
Rfam family: Bacterial small subunit ribosomal RNA
Source: RNAcentral
UACGAAGGGGGCUAGCGUUGUUCGGAAUCACUGGGCGUAAAGGGCGCGUAGGCGGCUUUAUAAGUCGGGGGUGAAAGCCCGUGGCUCAACCACAGAAUUGCCUUCGAUACUGUAGAGCUUGAGACCGGAAGAGGUAAGUGGAACUGCGAGUGUAGAGGUGAAAUUCGUAGAUAUUCGCAAGAACACCAGUGGCGAAGGCGGCUUACUGGUCCGGUUCUGACGCUGAGACGCGAAGGCGUGGGGAGCGAACGGG